AACGCACGAGACCUGCGGACCUGCGGAGGGAUCAUUACUGGGUUUUUGGGCUCUGCCCGCCACCCGCCCUCUGUUAUUCGUACUGUUGUUUCGGCCAGUGGGGGCGACCCCCGGCCGGCAGUAACUCUGAAGCAUCUUGAAGUCUGAUAAACUGUCAAUAAAAAAAACUUUUAGCAAUGGAUCUCU
This 186-nucleotide unclassified non-coding RNA is filed under the name soil metagenome. RNAcentral describes it as "partial contains 5.8S ribosomal RNA, internal transcribed spacer 2, and large subunit ribosomal RNA". The record is from RNAcentral.